UACGGGAGGCAGCAGUGGGGAAUCUUCCACAAUGGGCGAAAGCCUGAUCCAGCACACGCCGCGUGAUGUGAAGAAGGUCUUCGGAUCGUAAAACCUCCUGUUGUCUUGGGAAGAAGCAACUGCCGUUUAAAUA
This 133-nucleotide ribosomal RNA is filed under the name uncultured bacterium. Its description in RNAcentral is "partial 16S ribosomal RNA". It matches the Rfam family "Bacterial small subunit ribosomal RNA", at positions 340 to 465 of the family's 1533-position model. The record is from RNAcentral.